UUGGAGGGCAAGUCUGGUGCCAGCAGCCGCGGUAAUUCCAGCUCCAAUAGCGUAUAUUAAAGUUGUUGCAGUUAAAAAGCUCGUAGUUGAAUUUCGGGAUUGACACAUCGGUCGUGCCUUAAGGGGCAUGAACUGGUGUAGUCAAUUUCUCACCUUCUGGAGAACCGCGAUGCCCUUAAUUGGGUGUCACGGGGAACCAGGACCUUUACUUUGAAAAAAUUAGAGUGUUUAAAGCAGGCAUUUUGCUUGAAUACAUUAGCAUGGAAUAAUAAAAUAGG
RNAcentral lists this ribosomal RNA (278 nucleotides) under uncultured Glomus. RNAcentral's name for it is "partial 18S ribosomal RNA". It matches the Rfam family "Eukaryotic small subunit ribosomal RNA", at positions 548 to 826 of the family's 1831-position model. The record is from RNAcentral. Lineage: Eukaryota; Fungi; Glomeromycota; Glomeromycetes; Glomerales; Glomeraceae.